This 2313-nucleotide long non-coding RNA is filed under the name Sus scrofa (pig). RNAcentral describes it as "lncRNA (ENSSSCG00065058651.1)". Lineage: Eukaryota; Metazoa; Chordata; Mammalia; Artiodactyla; Suidae. The record is from RNAcentral.
AGCCACAGAGAGCCUGUAAAUUCCGCUAACCAGAAGGGCUCUCCCCGCCCCCUCUCCCCGCGCAGCUUGCUCUGCCCUCCUCCUCCUCCUCUCCGCCCACUCUCGCCGCGGUCUCCUGGCGGCGGCGGCUUUGUCUCGUGGGCUGGUCCCUGGCGGCUCCCUCCCCCGAACAGCUGCCACCAAGGGAAGAAGAGGCGCGGGAGCUGUCCAGCACCCCGGUGCUGAAACCUCGAGCGGCUCGUCAUCCACCACCACCAUGUAAGGGCCAUGAAAACGGCUCGUCCUGGCGCAGCGCGGACAUGGAGGAGGACUUAUUCCAGCUAAGGCAGCUGCCGUGAAGGAGAGAAUUAGGCCUGGAGGAGACAAGCCAUAUUCCUACCCCACCAGCUCACCCUCUGUAUCUCUGACUCAGUUCGAUUUUUCAGAUCCGUCAGAAUUUUAUGGAGACCUACAUGUGUUAUGUUUUUCCUUUGAAUUGCUCUCGAUCCUAAAGGGAUUUAGAGAUCUGUGUUUUAAGAAAACAUUAGCUGCUGUUUUGAAAUGUGGACUGAAUUGAUGAGUCCAUGCAAUGACAUGGGUCCUUUCCAGCCCUCCUUCUAUGCUGUGAAAUUCUUAAUGUUUCUGCAAGGUCUUUUAGAAGGGAAUGAGAGUAAUAUUGCAAACUGGUUUCUAAAGAGCGGGGAUUCCUUCCUAGAGAGGAGUCUUUGGCAAAGUCUUGUUUAUGAAGUGUGUGAAUGAGAGGGCUGCACAUCCUUGCUGAAACCUCUUGCCUUCUCCUGAAUGAAAGGCUUUGUAACAGCUGGCUGGAGUGAGACUCACUGUCAAGGGCUAUCCUUGGGAACUCAGAAAUACACUGCUUAGAAGCUUGGAAUUUUUCAGGGAUGCCAAAUUUGCUCUGGCAAUUUUGAGGGAAUCAAGCAGUGGAAAGGACAGGGGCCUUGUAGAGGGCUUACGAAUUUCUCUUACCGUAAGCUGAUGGUGAUUUGUUAAUAAGCAAAUUCCAAGAGUAUGAUAGGGCAUUAAAAAAAACAUUAACAGGGGUUUCCUUUUCAUUUUAAUAGGCACUAGCCAUUUGGCAAAAUGGUAAAAGUGAUUCAAUUUGGAAUUGUUGGAAAGGGUACAUUAUUGUUAGUAUGUAUGUAUUUUCUUGACUCAAUAUCUUUUUCUCUCUAAGCCACUAAGGAAUUCUCCCAAGUGACUUUUAGUGUGACUGAUACAGCUCUCUGAGGUGCUAAGCAAUGGAGGGUAUUGUAAUGUUUACUUCUUAAUCUGUGUAAAAUUAAUUUUCAGUGAAAUUUUUAAUUAAUUAAAUUUUUACCUUUAAGUUUUUAUUAACUGAUCCACAAAUAGCAUAUCUUAUGUAAUACAGCAUUAUUUCAAAAAUACUAAAGGAUACUUACUCAGUUGUAGUAUCCAGACUUCAUCUAUGAAUACAUAAAGAUGUACAUAUCUGAGGGCAUAUUUCUCAAAGAAACCAUACCACUUUCACUGAAAAUAAAUAUCAUGUUUAAGAACCAACCUGUUAUCUCAAAAUAAAAAAUAAUUCAGCAGCUAAAAAAUGAAAUUUGGUACACAGAAUAAGAAUAUAUUGGAACUUCAGUUUUACUAGGAUGAAAUUUCAAAUGCUGUUAGAGCAUGUGAACUUUGCAAGAUACUCAAAGAUUUAUGCAUAUUUAGUCUGCUAAUAUAUAGAUAUGGCACUAUAGUGACAAUUUCUUCCUAAAUUAAAAAACUAGUAAGUUUUAUUUAAUUUUUAAAAUUAGUUUAGUUUUUAUACUAAUAUAUACUAAUAAUAUAAUAUAUGCAUAGGGUAAAUAAGGUUCAAAAAGAAGCACAAGAAUAAAAGUUAGUCUCUCUCUUCCCAAACCCCAGUAUUGUUUCCGAAUUCUUUUUUUCUGAUUUUUAUAUAUAAGUACAUAUAAUAUCUACUAGAGAGGCCAAAUUGUGUACUGGUUAAGAGCAUUGGCUCUUGCAUAAGACAAAUUUGGCUUCAAAUCUUGACUGCCACUUCCUGGCCGUGUGACUUUGAGCAAGUGACUUAAUCUUUCUGAAACUCAGUUUCCUCAGCCAUAAAAUGGGAAUCAUAAUUGUACUUAAUUUAUAUGGUUAUUGGAAAGAUCAAAUGAGAUAAUUGUGCUAAAUGUCUGGCAGAUACAAAGAACUUAACACAUGUUAACUAUUAUUUUUAUUACACCUGAAUAAUAAUUUAUAAAAACAAACUAUGGCAGUUUCUUGGUGACCCAGUAGAUUAAGGAUCUGGCGUUGUCACUGCUGUGGCAUUGGUUCGAUCCCUGGCCUAGGAACUUCUGCAUG